GACGAACGCUGGCGGCGUGCUUAACACAUGCAAGUCGAACGGUAAGGCUCCAGCUUGCUGGGGUACACGAGUGGCGAACGGGUGAGUAACACGUGGGUGACCUGCCCUGCACUUCGGGAUAAGCCUGGGAAACUGGGUCUAAUACCGGAUAGGACUGCACCGUGAGGGUGUGGUGGAAAGUUUUUUCGGUGUGGGAUGGGCCCGCGGCCUAUCAGCUUGUUGGUGGGGUAAUGGCCUACCAAGGCGGCGACGGGUAGCCGGCCUGAGAGGGUGGACGGCCACAUUGGGACUGAGACACGGCCCAGACUCCUACGGGAGGCAGCAGUGGGGAAUAUUGCACAAUGGGCGGAAGCCUGAUGCAGCGACGCCGCGUGGGGGAUGACGGCCUUCGGGUUGUAAACUCCUUUCACCAUCGACGAAGGGUUUCUGACGGUAGAUGGAGAAGAAGCACCGGCUAACUACGUGCCAGCAGCCGCGGUAAUACGUAGGGUGCGAGCGUUGUCCGGAAUUACUGGGCGUAAAGAGCUCGUAGGUGGUUUGUCGCGUCGUCUGUGAAAUUCCGGGGCUUAACUCCGGGCGUGCAGGCGAUACGGGCAUAACUUGAGUACUGUAGGGGAGACUGGAAUUCCUGGUGUAGCGGUGAAAUGCGCAGAUAUCAGGAGGAACACCGGUGGCGAAGGCGGGUCUCUGGGCAGUAACUGACGCUGAGGAGCGAAAGCAUGGGGAGCGAACAGGAUUAGAUACCCUGGUAGUCCAUGCCGUAAACGGUGGGCGCUAGGUGUGGGUUUCCUUCCACGGGAUCCGUGCCGUAGCUAACGCAUUAAGCGCCCCGCCUGGGGAGUACGGCCGCAAGGCUAAAACUCAAAGGAAUUGACGGGGGCCCGCACAAGCGGCGGAGCAUGUGGAUUAAUUCGAUGCAACGCGAAGAACCUUACCUGGGCUUGACAUAUACAGGAUCGCGCCAGAGAUGGUGUUUCCCUUGUGGCUUGUAUACAGGUGGUGCAUGGUUGUCGUCAGCUCGUGUCGUGAGAUGUUGGGUUAAGUCCCGCAACGAGCGCAACCCUUGUCUUAUGUUGCCAGCACGUUGUGGUGGGGACUCGUAAGAAACUGCCGGGGUUAACUCGGAGGAAGGUGGGGAUGACGUCAAAUCAUCAUGCCCCUUAUGUCCAGGGCUUCACACAUGCUACAAUGGUCGGUACGGUGGGUUGCCAGUCCGUGAGGGCGAGCUAAUCCCGCAAAGCCGGUCUCAGUUCGGAUCGGGGUCUGCAACUCGACCCCGUGAAGUCGGAGUCGCUAGUAAUCGCAGAUCAGCAACGCUGCGGUGAAUACGUUCCCGGGCCU
This 1341-nucleotide ribosomal RNA is filed under the name uncultured bacterium. RNAcentral describes it as "partial 16S ribosomal RNA". It matches the Rfam family "Bacterial small subunit ribosomal RNA", at positions 28 to 1381 of the family's 1533-position model. The record is from RNAcentral.